GCGAUGGUAGUCUAGCCGGUAGGACACGACCUUGCCAAGGUUGAGACCCGGGUUCGAAUCCCGGCCGUCGCA
This 72-nucleotide transfer RNA is filed under the name Candidatus Aenigmatarchaeota archaeon. RNAcentral describes it as "tRNA-Gly". It matches the Rfam family "tRNA". Rfam says of the family: Transfer RNA (tRNA) molecules are approximately 80 nucleotides in length. Their secondary structure includes four short double-helical elements and three loops (D, anti-codon, and T loops). Further hydrogen bonds mediate the characteristic L-shaped molecular structure. tRNAs have two regions of fundamental functional importance: the anti-codon, which is responsible for specific mRNA codon recognition, and the 3' end, to which the tRNAs corresponding amino acid is attached (by aminoacyl-tRNA synthetases). tRNAs cope with the degeneracy of the genetic code in two manners: having more than one tRNA (with a specific anti-codon) for a particular amino acid; and 'wobble' base-pairing, i.e. permitting non-standard base-pairing at the 3rd anti-codon position. Lineage: Archaea; Nanobdellati; Candidatus Aenigmatarchaeota. The record is from RNAcentral.